RNAcentral lists this ribosomal RNA (305 nucleotides) under uncultured bacterium. Its description in RNAcentral is "bacterial SSU rRNA". It matches the Rfam family "Bacterial small subunit ribosomal RNA", at positions 333 to 653 of the family's 1533-position model. The record is from RNAcentral.
UGUAACCUACGGGGGGCAGCAGUGGGGAAUAUUGGGCAAUGGGCGCAAGCCUGACCCAGCAACGCCGCGUGAAGGAAGAAGGCUUUCGGGUUGUAAACUUCUUUUAAGAGGGAAGAGCAGAAGAUGGUACCUCUUGAAUAAGCCACGGCUAACUACGUGCCAGCAGCCGCGGUAAUACGUAGGUGGCAAUCGUUGUCCGGAUUUACUGGGUGUAAAGGGCGUGCAGCCGGGAAGACAAGUCAGAUGUGAAAUCCCGCGGCUCAACCGCGGAACUGCAUUUGAAACUGUUUUUCUUGAGCACCGUG